AUAGCCAGACUUUUGUGAGUACAAGUCUAUGUGUGUGCGGGCGUGUGUGUAGGGGGGGAGGAUGUGGAAAUGCAUCCGCUUGUUUAUUUAUGUAGAUGAACAGAAGGAAUGACAAUCAGGGAGGGAGAGGCAGACGGAGAGAGAGAAAGAAAGGUUUGGAAGAGAGUUGUAUUUGCAAACUGCUGGCUGACUUCCCACUGGAGCCGUGAGAGAUCAGAACGAGAGGCUGCGUGUCAGAAGAGAGAGAGAGUGCGUAUGUGUGUGUUCGCACAUCUGAGAGGAGAAACGCAGAGAGACAGACAGAGAGAGGGAGAAAGGGGAGGGAGGAAGGGAGAGGAACCCGUUCAACCCAUUUCAGCGGCAACUUUUCAGCCCGUCUUACAUGAGGUCUCUCCCUGAAUAUGGACACUUUUCGCUCCCGUCUCCUCAGCCAUCCCGUCGCCACGGUUCCCCGAUGCCGAACUUUGGCCACACUUUAGGCUGAAGCAACCUGAGUUUUCUCUGCAGUUUUGCAGGAGAUGAUGAUGGCAUUCACCAUGUAAAGCAACUCAAGCCUUUGCAUCAUCACCUCUCCUUGCGGUGUCAUUUGAGCCUUUGCAGCAACGAGGCUGGCAACACGUCCUGGCAUGGAACCACUCCGCAUAUGCCAAGAGUGCAGUUCAAGAGUGCACAGGCAGACAAAAAGAGUGAUGCAGCUCACCAUCAGUGUGUGAAUGUGUGUAUGAAGCACUCUGGAGUUUUUGGACCUGAUAAAGAGCAAUACCCUGCCGGCCAUUUACAAACAGGCAGGUAAAUCUUGUAGUUUCAAGUACUGAAAAACAAAGCGUCAAUAAAAAGUAAGAUAUGUGAUGCUUCUUUGAAAUCCAAGGGGGGGACAGAUCUACUAUGUGUGACUGGAGACGGCCUCUAGGGCGUCUCAUUUAAAGGAAUAUAACGCAAAGGAUAACAGAAGUCUAGAAUUUAACUGAAAGUGUAAUUUUUUAAAAUCAUGUUCACAACAGAAAGCAGGUCAAGUAUGUUGUGUAGCAUUAUAGGGAGUAAAAAAAAGAAAUCAGUCAUCUUGUAUUAAUGGCCAAAAACCUCCCAGUACGGUUCACUUCAUCUAUUGACAUUAUACAAGUUGAUCAGAUGAGAGAGAGCAACGUGUGUUUUCAGAAUAUGAAGCUGGGAUCAAAAGGGUGUGGCUUCAACUGACAGAUUUCACCUGAGCAAUAUGCAUUAGCCUUGGGAGAAAUAAAUCUAUUUUCCAAUACAUCAGGAUGUAGAUGAGAAUGAUUGUUGAAUCAAUAAAUGUCCAAGCUUAAUUAUUUAUUCAUUAUUGUAGUAAACUGACAUUACAGGAAGCUAAUGAACUCAUCUGAAUGCUGAAAACAGAUGUGUAUUGUCUCAUCACACUUUAAUGUCAAAUUUUAUGACAGAAAUAUUGAGUAUAUAGACCUUGCCAGUGCUGUACUUAUCUCUCCUUACAGAUGAGCAAUGUUAGUUCCCAGGUACAUCUCUUUUCCCAUGCCAAAAUAAAAUAAAAUUCCUUCUCUUUUCUGCAGCUGUUUAACACUUAAACAUGUCAGGAAAAGUAAAAGCUGAAAUCAAUCUAGUACAACAACAUCUGAACAAGAUGGGAAAAUAUUGCUAAAAAAAUCUUUCCAGACAGUAAAAAAAAAAGGCAGAAAAACUCAUUUGAUCAAAUCUUCUAUAACUGAUUUUCAUCAUCACAGUUCUGAUCUAGAAUUUCCCUAGGAACAGAAACUGAAGAUAUUUCCUUUACACAACUGUUGUACCAGUCAGAAUAUUAUAAAGGAACUCCUCCCACUCAGAGUGGUUACAGUAAAGACAAAGUUGCUGAACGAUUCCUCUCACGUGUUUUAUGUUAUGGUCCGGCAAAAGGUUUGAAUUUAAAUAAAAAUAAAAACGUUAUUAAACAAAUUUGUUAUUAUUAAUUACACUAUAUUAUUAAAUAAGCACCUUAUGAAGCAAGUAAACACACCACAUGAAAAGGUCUCUGUCCUCCUGUAUUUUCAUUUUCUAUAGACAGAAGAUCAACACGUUUAGAAUAUAGCAACAUUUAGGUAUGUAAAUUUAUAUGAUGCCUGAAAAUAUUUCCAUAGUUAAUGUGUUAAAAUGAAAAAUAAAUCAGAGUAAAAAACAA
This is a long non-coding RNA of Xiphophorus hellerii (green swordtail), 2146 nucleotides long. RefSeq lists it as uncharacterized. The record is from RefSeq and is a predicted model, not a curated record. Lineage: Eukaryota; Metazoa; Chordata; Actinopteri; Cyprinodontiformes; Poeciliidae. The transcript has 3 exons.